GCCGCCAUGGUGAAAUUGGUAGACACGCUGCUCUUAGGAAGCAGUGCUCAGGCAUCUCGGUUCGAGUCCGAGUGGCGGCA
RNAcentral lists this transfer RNA (80 nucleotides) under Indocalamus longiauritus. RNAcentral describes it as "tRNA-Leu". It matches the Rfam family "tRNA". Rfam says of the family: Transfer RNA (tRNA) molecules are approximately 80 nucleotides in length. Their secondary structure includes four short double-helical elements and three loops (D, anti-codon, and T loops). Further hydrogen bonds mediate the characteristic L-shaped molecular structure. tRNAs have two regions of fundamental functional importance: the anti-codon, which is responsible for specific mRNA codon recognition, and the 3' end, to which the tRNAs corresponding amino acid is attached (by aminoacyl-tRNA synthetases). tRNAs cope with the degeneracy of the genetic code in two manners: having more than one tRNA (with a specific anti-codon) for a particular amino acid; and 'wobble' base-pairing, i.e. permitting non-standard base-pairing at the 3rd anti-codon position. The record is from RNAcentral. RNAcentral also lists the same sequence under 1 other name. Lineage: Eukaryota; Viridiplantae; Streptophyta; Magnoliopsida; Poales; Poaceae.